GACGAACGCUGGUGGCGUGCUUAACACAUGCAAGUCGAACGGGAUUUAGUAAACAGAAGCCUCGGUGGAAGAUUACUAAUGAGAGUGGCGAACGGGUGAGUAACGCGUGAGCAACCUGCCUAUGACAGUGGGAUAGCCUCGGGAAACCAGGAUUAAUACCGCAUAAAAUCGUAGAAACACAUGUUUUAACGGUCAAAGAUUUAUCGGUCAUAGAUGGGCUCGCGUCUGAUUAGCUAGUUGGUGAGAUAACAGCCCACCAAGGCGACGAUCAGUAGCCGGUCUGAGAGGAUGAACGGCCACAUUGGAACUGAGACACGGUCCAAACUCCUACGGGAGGCCGCAGUGGGGAAUAUUGCACAAUGGGGGAAACCCUGAUGCAGCGACGCCGCGUGAACGAAGAAGGUAUUCGUAUCGUAAAGUUCUGUCCUAUGGGAAGAUAAUGACAGUACCAUAGAAGAAAGCUCCGGCUAAAUACGUG
Molecule: ribosomal RNA, 478 nt
Filed under: uncultured bacterium
Lineage: Bacteria
Description: partial 16S ribosomal RNA
Rfam family: Bacterial small subunit ribosomal RNA
Source: RNAcentral